GACAAGAAAUAACAAUACGGGGCAUAUGUCUUGUAAUUGGAAUGAUGCCGACUUAAACCCUCGGCAGAAUACCAAUUGGAGGGCAAGUCUGGCGCCAGCAGCCGCGGUAAUUCCAGCUCCAAUAGCGUAUAUUAAACUUGUUGCAGUUAAAAAGCUCGUAGUUGAAUUUGAGCUUGCGCGAUUCCGUUAUUGGAGUAUUGCGCUUGCUUUUUUGUUACUUUGAGAAAAUUAGGGUGUUUCAAGCAGACUUUUGUCUUGAAUACUUCAGCAUGGAAUAAUAGAGUAGGACCUUGGUUCUAUUUUGUUGGUUUUUGAGCCUUGGUAAUGGUUAAUAGGAACGGUUGGGGGCAUUCGUAUUUAACUGUCAGAGGUGAAAUUCU
RNAcentral lists this ribosomal RNA (380 nucleotides) under Babesia motasi. RNAcentral describes it as "SSU rRNA". It matches the Rfam family "Eukaryotic small subunit ribosomal RNA", at positions 469 to 920 of the family's 1831-position model. Lineage: Eukaryota; Apicomplexa; Aconoidasida; Piroplasmida; Babesiidae. The record is from RNAcentral.